GGCGUGUUAGCCAAGAUGGCAAAGGCGGCGCUCUGCAAAAGCGUUAUCAAAGGUUCGAGUCCUUUACAUGCCU
RNAcentral lists this transfer RNA (73 nucleotides) under Elusimicrobiota bacterium. Its description in RNAcentral is "tRNA-Cys". It matches the Rfam family "tRNA". Rfam says of the family: Transfer RNA (tRNA) molecules are approximately 80 nucleotides in length. Their secondary structure includes four short double-helical elements and three loops (D, anti-codon, and T loops). Further hydrogen bonds mediate the characteristic L-shaped molecular structure. tRNAs have two regions of fundamental functional importance: the anti-codon, which is responsible for specific mRNA codon recognition, and the 3' end, to which the tRNAs corresponding amino acid is attached (by aminoacyl-tRNA synthetases). tRNAs cope with the degeneracy of the genetic code in two manners: having more than one tRNA (with a specific anti-codon) for a particular amino acid; and 'wobble' base-pairing, i.e. permitting non-standard base-pairing at the 3rd anti-codon position. Lineage: Bacteria; Pseudomonadati; Elusimicrobiota. The record is from RNAcentral.